Molecule: ribosomal RNA, 329 nt
Filed under: uncultured eukaryote
Lineage: Eukaryota
Description: partial 18S ribosomal RNA
Rfam family: Eukaryotic small subunit ribosomal RNA
Source: RNAcentral
CCCUUAGAUGUCCUGGGCCGCACGCGCGCUACACUGAGUGUCUGAGAUACGAGUCUGCCUGGUCCGGCAAGGUCUAGGUAAUCGCUAAAAGACACAUCAUGCUUGGGAUAGAUUAUUGCAAAUAUUAAUCUUGAACGAGGAAUUCCUAGUAGGCGCAAGUCAUCAGCUUGCGUCGAUUACGUCCCUGCCCUUUGUACACACCGCCCGUCGCUCCUACCGAUUGGGUGUGCUGGUGAAAUGUUCGGAUCGGCCGUUUGUCGCGGUUUCCGCGUCAUGUGGCUGAGAAGUUCAUUAAACCCUCCCACCUAGAGGAAGGAGAAGUCGUAACA